RNAcentral lists this ribosomal RNA (981 nucleotides) under Phlogistus sp. 2 NLG-2013. Its description in RNAcentral is "partial 16S ribosomal RNA". The record is from RNAcentral. Lineage: Eukaryota; Metazoa; Arthropoda; Insecta; Coleoptera; Cleridae.
GAAUUUAAUAAUUAAUUUUUUUUAUAUUUUUAUAUUUAUUUAAUUAAAAUAUUAAAUGUUUUAUUAUAUUUUUGAAAAAAUUUAUUUUAUUAUAGUUUAAAGUACUGUGAGGGAAAAUUAAAAAAUAUUAAAAAGAAAAAUUUAAUUUUUGUACCUUGUGUAUCAGGGUUAAUUAAAAAAUAAUUUUUUAUUAAAUAUUCUCGAAUUUAAAAGAGCUAAUUAGUAAUAUAUUUUAUUGUAAAAUAAAUAUUUAAAAUUAUUAGUUAGAAAUGAAACGUUAUUCGUUUUUAAAUAUAUCUAGUUUUUAAAGAAAUGAAUUUAAUUCAUUUAUUGAUAAUUAAAAUUUUAAUUUUUUAAUUUUUUAUUAUCAAUAAGAAAUUUUUUUAGGGAUAAGCUUAAAAAAAAAAUUUUAUAAUAAAUUUAUUAUUUUAAUAAAUUAUAGGAUUAAAAAUUUCUAUAAAUAAAAAAUUGUUAUAAUUAAUUAUUUAUUUAAUAUUAUUUAUAUUUUAUUUAAAUAUUUUAUUUAAAUAUAGGUUUUAAUUUUAGAAUCUUAGAAAUAAUGAUUAAAUUAGUAUAAAUUUUUGUAAAUUUAAAUUAGUUUUUAAGGUUAAUUUAAGGAAUUCGGCAAAUUUAUUUUUCACCUGUUUAAUAAAAACAUGUCCUUUUGAAUAUAAUUUAAGGUCUAAUCUGCCCACUGAGUAUUUAAAUGGCCGCGGUAUUUUGACCGUGCAAAGGUAGCAUAAUAAUUAGUUUCUUAAUUAGAAGCUGGAAUGAAUGAUUGGAUGAGAAAAUAACUGUCUCAGGUUAAUUUUAUUAGAACUUUAUUUUUAAGUUAAAAAGCUUAAAUGUUAUUAAAAGACGAGAAGACCCUAUAGAGUUUAAUUUAAAUUAUUUAUAAAAAAGUAUAGAUUAAAAUUUUUAUAUAAUUAAUUUAAAUUUUGUUGGGGUGAUAGAAAAAUUUAAUUAACUUUUUUUGUAUAA